UAAACUGUAGAGGAAAAAAAAAAAAAAAAUAAUGUAGAGAUAAAGCAUCAGUAGUGUGCAAGCUUCCCCACACUGUCCUUCCAGUGUGCCUCAGUUCUGAUUGACAAGGACUGUCUCAAAAGUGAGAGGUUAUUUCAGUUUCCAUGACCCAUUCAGCACUUGACCUGU
RNAcentral lists this small RNA (168 nucleotides) under Anas platyrhynchos platyrhynchos (common mallard). Its description in RNAcentral is "TUC338 (ENSAPLG00000027682.1)". The record is from RNAcentral. Lineage: Eukaryota; Metazoa; Chordata; Aves; Anseriformes; Anatidae.